GAUGAACGCUGGCGGCGUGCUUAACACAUGCAAGUCGAACGGAAAGGCUCCUGCUUGCAGGGGCACUCGAGUGGCGAACGGGUGAGUAACACGUGGGUGAUCUGCCCUGCACUUCGGGAUAAGCCUGGGAAACUGGGUCUAAUACCGGAUAGGACGAUGGUUUGGAUGCCAUUGUGGAAAGUUUUUUCGGUGUGGGAUGAGCUCGCGGCCUAUCAGCUUGUUGGUGGGGUAAUGGCCUACCAAGGCGUCGACGGGUAGCCGGCCUGAGAGGGUGUACGGCCACAUUGGGACUGAGAUACGGCCCAGACUCCUACGGGAGGCAGCAGUGGGGAAUAUUGCACAAUGGGCGCAAGCCUGAUGCAGCGACGCCGCGUGGGGGAUGACGGCCUUCGGGUUGUAAACUCCUUUCGCUAGGGACGAAGCGCAAGUGACGGUACCUGGAGAAGAAGCACCGGCUAACUACGUG
RNAcentral lists this ribosomal RNA (466 nucleotides) under uncultured bacterium. RNAcentral's name for it is "partial 16S ribosomal RNA". It matches the Rfam family "Bacterial small subunit ribosomal RNA", at positions 28 to 507 of the family's 1533-position model. The record is from RNAcentral.